AUUGAACGCUGGCGGCAGGCCUAACACAUGCAAGUCGAGCGACCGGCGGACGGGUGAGUAAUGCCUGGGAAUUGCCCAGUCGAGGGGGAUAACAGUUGGAAACGACUGCUAAUACCGCAUAUGAUCGGAUUGCCAAGGUGGGAUUAGCUAGUUGUUGAGGUAAUGGCUCACCAAGGCGACGAUCCCUAGCUGGUCUGAGAGGAUGAUCAGCCACACUGGAACUGAGACACGGUCCAGACUCCUACGGGAGGCAGCAGUGGGGAAUAUUGCACAAUGGGGGAAAGCCUGAUGCAGCCAGGCCGCGUGUGUGAAGAAGGCCUUCGGGUUGUAAAGCACUUUCAGUUGGGAGGCGUUACUCACAGAAUAAGCACCGGCUAACUCCGUGCCAGCAGCCGCGGUAAUUC
Molecule: ribosomal RNA, 404 nt
Filed under: uncultured bacterium
Lineage: Bacteria
Description: partial 16S ribosomal RNA
Rfam family: Bacterial small subunit ribosomal RNA
Source: RNAcentral